RNAcentral lists this transfer RNA (69 nucleotides) under Teredorus hainanensis. RNAcentral describes it as "tRNA-Gln". The record is from RNAcentral. Lineage: Eukaryota; Metazoa; Arthropoda; Insecta; Orthoptera; Tetrigidae.
UAUAUUUUAGUGUAUGAGGCACUUAAGAUUUUGAUUCUUAAAGAUAUGGUUUAAUUCUAUAAAAUAUAA